Molecule: ribosomal RNA, 1861 nt
Filed under: Escherichia coli
Lineage: Bacteria; Pseudomonadati; Pseudomonadota; Gammaproteobacteria; Enterobacterales; Enterobacteriaceae
Description: partial 23S ribosomal RNA
Rfam family: Bacterial large subunit ribosomal RNA
Source: RNAcentral
CGGGACACGUGGUAUCCUGUCUGAAUAUGGGGGGACCAUCCUCCAAGGCUAAAUACUCCUGACUGACCGAUAGUGAACCAGUACCGUGAGGGAAAGGCGAAAAGAACCCCGGCGAGGGGAGUGAAAAAGAACCUGAAACCGUGUACGUACAAGCAGUGGGAGCACGCUUAGGCGUGUGACUGCGUACCUUUUGUAUAAUGGGUCAGCGACUUAUAUUCUGUAGCAAGGUUAACCGAAUAGGGGAGCCGAAGGGAAACCGAGUCUUAACUGGGCGUUAAGUUGCAGGGUAUAGACCCGAAACCCGGUGAUCUAGCCAUGGGCAGGUUGAAGGUUGGGUAACACUAACUGGAGGACCGAACCGACUAAUGUUGAAAAAUUAGCGGAUGACUUGUGGCUGGGGGUGAAAGGCCAAUCAAACCGGGAGAUAGCUGGUUCUCCCCGAAAGCUAUUUAGGUAGCGCCUCGUGAAUUCAUCUCCGGGGGUAGAGCACUGUUUCGGCAAGGGGGUCAUCCCGACUUACCAACCCGAUGCAAACUGCGAAUACCGGAGAAUGUUAUCACGGGAGACACACGGCGGGUGCUAACGUCCGUCGUGAAGAGGGAAACAACCCAGACCGCCAGCUAAGGUCCCAAAGUCAUGGUUAAGUGGGAAACGAUGUGGGAAGGCCCAGACAGCCAGGAUGUUGGCUUAGAAGCAGCCAUCAUUUAAAGAAAGCGUAAUAGCUCACUGGUCGAGUCGGCCUGCGCGGAAGAUGUAACGGGGCUAAACCAUGCACCGAAGCUGCGGCAGCGACACUGUGUGUUGUUGGGUAGGGGAGCGUUCUGUAAGCCUGCGAAGGUGUGCUGUGAGGCAUGCUGGAGGUAUCAGAAGUGCGAAUGCUGACAUAAGUAACGAUAAAGCGGGUGAAAAGCCCGCUCGCCGGAAGACCAAGGGUUCCUGUCCAACGUUAAUCGGGGCAGGGUGAGUCGACCCCUAAGGCGAGGCCGAAAGGCGUAGUCGAUGGGAAACAGGUUAAUAUUCCUGUACUUGGUGUUACUGCGAAGGGGGGACGGAGAAGGCUAUGUUGGCCGGGCGACGGUUGUCCCGGUUUAAGCGUGUAGGCUGGUUUUCCAGGCAAAUCCGGAAAAUCAAGGCUGAGGCGUGAUGACGAGGCACUACGGUGCUGAAGCAACAAAUGCCCUGCUUCCAGGAAAAGCCUCUAAGCAUCAGGUAACAUCAAAUCGUACCCCAAACCGACACAGGUGGUCAGGUAGAGAAUACCAAGGCGCUUGAGAGAACUCGGGUGAAGGAACUAGGCAAAAUGGUGCCGUAACUUCGGGAGAAGGCACGCUGAUAUGUAGGUGAAGUCCCUCGCGGAUGGAGCUGAAAUCAGUCGAAGAUACCAGCUGGCUGCAACUGUUUAUUAAAAACACAGCACUGUGCAAACACGAAAGUGGACGUAUACGGUGUGACGCCUGCCCGGUGCCGGAAGGUUAAUUGAUGGGGUCAGCGCAAGCGAAGCUCUUGAUCGAAGCCCCGGUAAACGGCGGCCGUAACUAUAACGGUCCUAAGGUAGCGAAAUUCCUUGUCGGGUAAGUUCCGACCUGCACGAAUGGCGUAAUGAUGGCCAGGCUGUCUCCACCCGAGACUCAGUGAAAUUGAACUCGCUGUGAAGAUGCAGUGUACCCGCGGCAAGACGGAAAGACCCCGUGAACCUUUACUAUAGCUUGACACUGAACAUUGAGCCUUGAUGUGUAGGAUAGGUGGGAGGCUUUGAAGUGUGGACGCCAGUCUGCAUGGAGCCGACCUUGAAAUACCACCCUUUAAUGUUUGAUGUUCUAACGUUGACCCGUGAUCCGGGUUGCGGACAGUGUCUGGUGGG